RNAcentral lists this transfer RNA (72 nucleotides) under Conexivisphaera calida. It matches the Rfam family "tRNA". Rfam says of the family: Transfer RNA (tRNA) molecules are approximately 80 nucleotides in length. Their secondary structure includes four short double-helical elements and three loops (D, anti-codon, and T loops). RNAcentral also lists the same sequence under 2 other names. Lineage: Archaea; Thermoproteati; Nitrososphaerota; Conexivisphaeria; Conexivisphaerales; Conexivisphaeraceae. The record is from Rfam by way of RNAcentral.
GGGCCGGUAGUUCAGCGGUAGAAUGCCCGCCUUGCACGCGGGAGGUCGCGGGUUCGAAUCCCGCCCGGUCCA